RNAcentral lists this ribosomal RNA (253 nucleotides) under uncultured bacterium. RNAcentral describes it as "partial 16S ribosomal RNA". It matches the Rfam family "Bacterial small subunit ribosomal RNA", at positions 524 to 776 of the family's 1533-position model. The record is from RNAcentral.
UACGAAGGGGGCUAGCGUUACUCGGAUUGACUGGGCGUAAAGGGCGCGUAGGCGGUUCGUACAGUCAGACGUGAAAUUCCUGGGCUCAACCUGGGGGCUGCGUUUGAUACGUGCGGGCUUGAGUUCGGAAGAGGGUCGUGGAAUUCCCAGUGUAGAGGUGAAAUUCGUAGAUAUUGGGAAGAACACCAGUGGCGAAGGCGGCUCACUGGCCCGAUACUGACGCUGAGGCACGAAAGCGUGGGGAGCAAACAGG